This is a long non-coding RNA of Perca flavescens (yellow perch), 536 nucleotides long. RefSeq lists it as uncharacterized. The transcript has 2 exons. Lineage: Eukaryota; Metazoa; Chordata; Actinopteri; Perciformes; Percidae. The record is from RefSeq and is a predicted model, not a curated record.
UGGGCCUUCCUCAACUUAUAGGGCAACCAAAAAGGUAAAAAGGUUUGUUUUGUUGUCCAUAGGGUUGGGGCUUUGGGGCUACUGGACAUUACAGUUGUACAUGUGAUUUGUGUGUGGGUAAGGGUGCGAGAGGGGAAUGAAUCAAUAAAGUUUAUUAUACAUGGAAUCAGGGGCUGAAAAGCUCUUGCGUCUUAAUCCUGACAUAGCUCACUGAUAACAUUAAGGUUCUCACUCUUUGCCUCUUUUGCAUAAGGUAGGAAGGGAGGUAAAUACAUAUUUUUUUAAUAUUUAACUGACAUUGCAUUUAAGUGAUAAAGGCUUGUUUAAAAAAAAUAAAUGACGGACCUAAGCGGGAGUUGGAGCGGCAUCGCUGACGGCGAAAUAAUCAUUUAAACGGACAAACGGAGGCGGUCACUGAGGAUGGGAAAGCAAAAGACAAGCAGGGAGACAGAGGCCAAAGACAGAUGUUGUAUAGCUAGAUUAUUUGCUAAAGCCUUUUAGAGAUUGGCAUUCUGAAAAUAAAUGCAUUAAAUGAA